GAAGAAUCCAGAGAUGGAUUUGUGCCUUCGGGAACUGUGAGACAGGUGCUGCAUGGCUGUCGUCAGCUCGUGUUGUGAAAUGUUGGGUUAAGUCCCGCAACGAGCGCAACCCUUAUCCUUUGUUGCCAGCGGUCCGGCCGGGAACUCAAAGGAGACUGCCAGUGAUAAACUGGAGGAAGGUGGGGAUGACGUCAAGUCAUCAUGGCCCUUACGACCAGGGCUACACACGUGCUACAAUGGCGCAUACAAAGAGAAGCGACCUCGCGAGAGCAAGCGGACCUCAUAAAGUGCGUCGUAGUCCGGAUUGGAGUCUGCAACUCGACUCCAUGAAGUCGGAAUCGCUAGUAAUCGUGGAUCAGAAUGCCACGGUGAAUACGUUCCCGGGCCUUGUACACACCGCCCGUCACACCAUGGGAGUGGGUUGCAAAAGAAGUAGGUAGCUUAACCUUCGGGAGGGCGCUUACCACUUUGUGAUUCAUGACUGGGGUGAAGUCGUAACAAGGUAACCGUAGGGGAACCUGCGGUUGGA
This 529-nucleotide ribosomal RNA is filed under the name Salmonella enterica. Its description in RNAcentral is "bacterial SSU rRNA". It matches the Rfam family "Bacterial small subunit ribosomal RNA", at positions 993 to 1522 of the family's 1533-position model. The record is from RNAcentral. Lineage: Bacteria; Pseudomonadati; Pseudomonadota; Gammaproteobacteria; Enterobacterales; Enterobacteriaceae. RNAcentral also lists the same sequence under 1 other name.